AAGCUGUGAUGAACUUCGCGCUUGAGUGGUGAUUGGGUCGCCACAAUUAUCUGAAUCUAGUCGGACGAUUAAUUGCGCAUCUGAGCUU
Molecule: small nucleolar RNA, 88 nt
Filed under: Ipomoea nil (Japanese morning glory)
Lineage: Eukaryota; Viridiplantae; Streptophyta; Magnoliopsida; Solanales; Convolvulaceae
Description: small nucleolar RNA snoR114
Rfam family: small nucleolar RNA snoR114
Source: Rfam by way of RNAcentral